AGGUGAUUGAGGAGGUUAGGUGGUUCCACUCGGUACCUGCGCAAAAAAACUCACACAACGCUUUUGUUCGACUAAAGGGAACGGAGACUUCUGCGGGUGACCAAUUCUGGAAGACACUUGGUCACAAGUAACUGGCAAACAAGAAAAGAACAGCCUGGAGCCAGCGUUUCGUUUACGUCGCUAUUAAAUCACCCAGUUCAGGGCACAUGUUGGAUAUACGCAACGUGCGC
This is a non-coding RNA of Dermacentor albipictus, 230 nucleotides long. NCBI's taxonomy places the organism in Eukaryota, Metazoa, Arthropoda, Arachnida, Ixodida, Ixodidae. The record is from RefSeq and is a predicted model, not a curated record.